RNAcentral lists this long non-coding RNA (246 nucleotides) under Nicotiana benthamiana. RNAcentral's name for it is "long non-coding RNA (NBEN_LNC024380)". The record is from RNAcentral. Lineage: Eukaryota; Viridiplantae; Streptophyta; Magnoliopsida; Solanales; Solanaceae.
GUGAGUUCCAAAACCUGGUCAACCAGUUGUCGUCUGUAGAGAUGGCACUUAGCGAUGAAGUUCAGGCUCUGUUACUACUCAGUUCCCUUCCCGAUAGUUAGGAAAUGCUGGUCGUAUUACUCAGCAACUCAGCCCCUAAUGGCAAACAUACCAUGUCAAUGGUCAAGGAUGCCCUAUUCAGUGAAGAGGCAAGGAGAAAGGAGAUGGGCACAGAUCAGACCCAUGCCUUUGUCACAGAGAACCGGG